RNAcentral lists this ribosomal RNA (554 nucleotides) under Patelloida corticata. RNAcentral describes it as "partial 16S ribosomal RNA". It matches the Rfam family "Bacterial large subunit ribosomal RNA", at positions 1817 to 2601 of the family's 2925-position model. Lineage: Eukaryota; Metazoa; Mollusca; Gastropoda; Lottiidae. The record is from RNAcentral.
CGCCUCUUGCUUUUCACAGGAGGUCCCGUCUGCACAAUGACCCAAGGGUUAAAUUGCCGCGGUACCCUGACCGUGCUAAGGUAGCGUAAUCACUAGCCUAUUAAUUGUUGGCCCGUAUCAAUGGCAUCACGCUGGUGGCACUGUCUCUAUGGUGUUUUGUUGAAUUUAACAUCUUGGUGAAAAGACCAAGAUUUUCCUAAAAGACGAUAAGACCCUGUCGAACUUUAGGCUAAUCCCCCAGGUUUUAAAAUGUGGGGGCCGAACCUUUGGUUGGGGAAACCGGGGACCAAAUAAAGCGUCCGCCCCCCGUACUGCUUAAGCCGUAAGGAAAAUAUUACUAUUUAUAGUAAUCAAGUCUGGCAGGACAGCUCUAAUUAAUAUAGAUCCGGGUAGAGAAACCCGACUAUGGGAAAAGUUACCGCAGGGAUAACAGCGUAAUCCCCCCGGCGAGACCACAUUAAUGGGGGGGUUUGCGACCUCGAUGUUGGCUUAGGGCACCCCGGAAGCGCAGAAGCUUCCAAAGGUUGGUCUGUUCGACCAUUAACGCCCCACAU